GCACCAUGGAGGGCAGAGAUCCAGGGGUACUGGACACCCUCCUGGAGGGGCACAAGGCAGAGGAGGCUCCAUCCACAGGGGCUCAUGUGGCAAAAGGUUCACCCACAUUUCAGCUCUGAAAUGGAAAGCAGACGUGGCUUCUUGCUGCACCUUUAG
Lepidothrix coronata (blue-crowned manakin) is the source of this 156-nucleotide long non-coding RNA. RefSeq lists it as uncharacterized. The record is from RefSeq and is a predicted model, not a curated record. Lineage: Eukaryota; Metazoa; Chordata; Aves; Passeriformes; Pipridae. The transcript is spliced from 2 exons.